Molecule: long non-coding RNA, 282 nt
Filed under: Elaeis guineensis (African oil palm)
Lineage: Eukaryota; Viridiplantae; Streptophyta; Magnoliopsida; Arecales; Arecaceae
Description: long non-coding RNA (EGUI_LNC026407)
Source: RNAcentral
GUGAAACAAUGAAGGCGACGGAGGUUCUGAACAGGGGAUGGAGGUUCCGUCUACCUAUCCAAUCUAUGGGCUGAAAAAGGAGUCGAUGGAGCAUGCUCUUUUUCGCUAUUCGAGGAUGAGUUUGAUUUGGAAGAUGAUAGGUGGCCAGCCACGAGAGGACAAUCAGUAAACCUUGGCUUCUCCUAUUCCUAGAUGCGAUUCAUCAGAACAUGAUUGAGAACUUAUCGGGGGGCAGUAGGAUGGCAUAUAUUACCUAUCAAAUUUGACUAUCCAGAAAUAGCC